Molecule: ribosomal RNA, 274 nt
Filed under: uncultured bacterium
Lineage: Bacteria
Description: partial 16S ribosomal RNA
Rfam family: Bacterial small subunit ribosomal RNA
Source: RNAcentral
AUACGAAGGGGGCAAGCGUUGUUCGGAAUAACUGGGCGUAAAGCGCACGUAGGCGGAAUGUUAAGUUAGAGGCGAAAUCCCAGGGCUCAACCCUGGAACUGCCUUUAAUACUGGCAAUCUAGAGACCGAGAGAGGUGAGUGGAAUUCCGAGUGUAGAGGUGAAAUUCGUAGAUAUUCGGAGGAACACCAGUGGCGAAGGCGGCUCACUGGCUCGGUACUGACGCUGAGGUGCGAAAGCGUGGGGAGCAAACAGGAUUAGAAACCCUAGUAGUCC